RNAcentral lists this ribosomal RNA (440 nucleotides) under uncultured bacterium. RNAcentral describes it as "bacterial SSU rRNA". It matches the Rfam family "Bacterial small subunit ribosomal RNA", at positions 28 to 450 of the family's 1533-position model. The record is from RNAcentral.
GAUGAACGCUGGCGGCGUGCUUAACACAUGCAAGUCGAACGAAGCACUUUAUUUGAUUUCUUCGGAAUGAAGAUUUUGUGACUGAGUGGCGGACGGGUGAGUAACGCGUGGGUAACCUGCCUCAUACAGGGGGAUAACAGUUGGAAACGACUGCUAAUACCGCAUAAGCGCACAGGGUCGCAUGACCUGGUGUGAAAAACUCCGGUGGUAUGAGAUGGACCCGCGUCUGAUUAGCCAGUUGGUGGGGUAACGGCCUACCAAAGCGACGAUCAGUAGCCGACCUGAGAGGGUGACCGGCCACAUUGGGACUGAGACACGGCCCAAACUCCUACGGGAGGCAGCAGUGGGGAAUAUUGCACAAUGGGGGAAACCCUGAUGCAGCGACGCCGCGUGAGCGAAGAAGUAUUUCGGUAUGUAAAGCUCUAUCAGCAGGGAAGAAG